AGAGUUUGAUCAUGGCUCAGAUUGAACGCUGGCGGCAUGCCUUACACAUGCAAGUCGAACGGUAACGCGGGGCAACCUGGCGACGAGUGGCGAACGGGUGAGUAAUACAUCGGAACGUGCCCAGUAGUGGGGGAUAGCCCGGCGAAAUCCGGAUUAAUACCCCAUAAUAGAUCGAAUGGCAUCAUUUGGUUUUGAAAGCUCCGGCGGUUAAAGAUGAGUAUGCGUCUGAUUAGCUAGUUGGUGAGGUAACGGCUCACCAAGGCGACGAUCAGUAGGGGAUCUGAGAGGAUUAACCCCCACACGGAUACUGAGACACGGAUCCGACUCCUACGGGAGGCAGCAGUAAGGAAUAUUGGACAAUGCCCGCAAGGGUGAUCCAGCCAUGCCGCGUGCAGGAAGACGGCCCUAUGGGUUGUAGACUGCUUUUAUACCGGAGAAAACCUUCCCUCGUGAGGGGAGCUGAUAGUAUGGUAAGAAUAAGCAUCGGCUAACUUCGUGCCAGCAGCCGCGGUAAGACGAAGGAUGCAAGCGUUAUCCGGAUUCAUUGGGUUUAAAGGGAGCGUAGGUGGCCUUAUAAGUCAGUGGUGAAAUCUCUGGGCUUAACCCAGAAAUUGCCAUUGAUACUGUAGGGCUUGAGUAUAGUUGCCGUUGGCGGAAUAUGACAUGUAGUGGUGAAAUACAUAGAGAUGUCAUAGAACACCGAUUGCGAAGGCAGCUGACGAAACUAUAACUGACACUGAGGCUCGAAAGUGCGGGGAUCAAACAGGAUUAGAUACCCUAGUAGUCC
This 787-nucleotide ribosomal RNA is filed under the name uncultured bacterium. RNAcentral describes it as "bacterial SSU rRNA". It matches the Rfam family "Bacterial small subunit ribosomal RNA", at positions 8 to 796 of the family's 1533-position model. The record is from RNAcentral.